ACCGCUCAUCGGAUAAUCAUAGAGAGCAUACUGGAACAGAGCGGACUUGAGCGGGUGUGGAAUCGUGAGUACGCAACCUUUGUAUAUAUAAUCCUGCCUCUUAGACUACCGAGUGACGCCGAGAGGAAAGGUGAAUCGAUAUAGAUGAGACUCUUAAAGACUCGACUGUCAAAGCAGAGAGGUGAGAAGCUGUUGAGCACUGAGCGAGGUGGCUAUGAAAUGGUAGUUAAACUGAGAUGGUAGGAGGGAGACAGGUGGGGUGGGGGAUGCGCCAGAGGAACGUAUUCAGAAACGCUUCGCUCUCUCAUCACGAGUAUAUUCAAAAGCCACCAGUCUGUAUGAUUAACUGUGUGUUUCUCCUCUUAAUAAUGUAGAAACGUUGUUAAUCUGUCACUAGAGCCGUAAAAAAUCACUUGAAAACUCGUGUAACUUCAACUUUGUAGUGGAGGUGCGGCGCAGGAGUGUUUCAGGGUAUGGGUCCGAGUCCUGCUUGAGUGGCUUUGAUGGAUGAGUGUUGGGAAUAUUUAGAGGAGGGUGGAAUAUUUAGUUUCAUCUCCAAUCAUGUGUGUUGGUAAUGAUACACUCUUAGAUGGAAUGUACUAGUGCUAAGUCCUUUUAUUUAUAUUAUCGGCUUCUCAUCCUCCGCAGUGCAGUGCUCAGCAGUUGUGUGAUCAGAGAAAACCUCGUGCAGCUGCCAUCCACUGCAGCAUAGAAAGAAGACGGGAGGAGUGUAGUGGUGGGACAUAUGCCUUCGUUUUAUCUGUUAAAAUCAUGCACAUGAUUUGUGAAUUUCAUGAACUGAUAACUAACAGACAUACUGAACGAGAAACAAGGAAAGGUAGAUCCUGAAUUGCAUUUGUUUGUCUGUAUAAUGGAGGUUGUCAAUUCCAUGUCAGCAACUCUUGUACCGCCGCCCACGUGACAUCACUGGGUGGCUGUCAGUCCUGACUCCUGAGCGUGGGAGUGAGGCGCUUGCUCGUCCAUGUAGAUGAAAUGGAGGACAACGACCAUAAGUUCAUCACGAAAGCAUCGUCACCAAAAAUCUGAGGUAUGAAAGACGAACACCAACAUGAACAGAGUUUUGAGAAAUGCUUGAAAUGAGUGACACCUUGAAUGAGGCAGGAAAUGAGGACGUGUUCCCUGACUGAGCUGCUUGGGGACAGGCGUAAUCGCCUUUUCUCUCAGGAGCACAAUACAUUUACAACAUUAUAAUCUUCUCAGUAGUUAGUCAGUAAUUCACCAAUGUUCUCGGAACUUAAUGACGACUAUCAAGGAUCUUUUAUAACAAAGCCGCCUCCGCCUUCCCAGCCUCCCCGCCCCCAUCUUGCGUCAUGCGCCUCAUUGCCCUCUGCAGUUUCCGGAGUUUUCCUCCAAUAACUUAUUAGUAUUUUUCUUACUUUACGUUUGCUUCAAGACUAUUGUAGAGCAUUUAUUAGUCAUGAAACAUUUGUUCUUUUAGUUACUUUCCUUAAGGUCAAGACAACCUCCUCAGCCUUCCUUCCUUCCGGGACACAAGCACCUGCCGUCCAGGCCGCGCGGAGCAUGAAGGGCCCUGCGGCGGACAGGCCACCAGGGAGAGGAGGAGGCUCGGAUGCCUGUCACCGCCGACACGACUGGAAAAAUGUCAGACUUACACUGUACAAUAAUUGAAAGUUUGCACGUGCACGCAACAGGAAAUGACCGAAGGAACUACAUUGUUCCAUAAAUUAAGAAGAGACGCUUCCGAGCCAAGAAGGGACCUGCAGAGCAUCCCAUCUGGGCCCGCCCGCCGCCCUAAACCCCGGCGGCCACAAGAGGGGCGUGUGGGGUCCGUUGGAAGUGUGACGUCGAGACACACCGGGGCCGUCACGGUGGGGCAUCCUGGGAGGCUCGCUUGUUGCCAGGAUGGUCAGAUCGCCCUUAAUAUGGCGCCCUGCCACUGUGCCGGCCCCUUCCACCACCACCACCACCACCACCUCCUCCUCCUCCUCCUCCUCUUCCUUCGUAAUUAUCUACUCAGCGGAUAAAUACUUAGCCAUUGCAAUACAAGAUGCCAGUGCCAGUGAUGCCUGUUGUGCCUGGCUGACUUACCUGUAUUACCAUUAAUAAUACGCCAUGAUCGCCACGCCCUACACUGUCAUUAUACGCGCUUCUUUGAGGCUCAACAGUAUAAUUAUGUAUAGUCCUUACUGAUAAAAGAAAAUAGAAAGCAGUAGUGACGUUUAUUUAGCUGAAUUUUAUGGAUAUUGAAUCACUUAGACAAUACCUCCUUCUACUGGUGUUUCUUGCCUUUUAUCACAUCCUCAGUCAAAUCUCAGUCCCAUCCAUUUCCAAGAGGACAGCCCCGCGCGAGGGAUUGGAGUGGGUGGUAGAGUCUCCCCCUCUCUCAAAAGUGCCACGCUGUUCCUAUUAGCCAAGCAUCCAGUGUCCUCUGCUUAAUUAUCAUCAU
Long non-coding RNA from Scylla paramamosain (green mud crab), 2428 nucleotides. RefSeq lists it as uncharacterized. The transcript has 3 exons. Lineage: Eukaryota; Metazoa; Arthropoda; Malacostraca; Decapoda; Portunidae. The record is from RefSeq and is a predicted model, not a curated record.